CCAAAUCAAUUCGCAGUUGGGCUGUCAGAUGGAUCUGUUAAAGUGAUGGAGCCCUUGGAGUCCGAAGGGAAGUGGGGGACACCUGCUCCUGUGGAGAAUGGGGUGGCCAAUGGCAGGACGUCAGCGUCAUCAGCUACCAGCAACCAGGCCACGAAUCAAAACCAAAGAUAGAUGCAUGCCGAUGUCCUCUGUAUAAUCUUCAGAUCUCUACAUUGACUUGUUUGUAUGUUUGUGUCAGCUAGGUCAUGGUUGCAGUUCUUGGAAAGCAAACA
Long non-coding RNA from Lolium rigidum, 272 nucleotides. RefSeq lists it as uncharacterized. The record is from RefSeq and is a predicted model, not a curated record. The transcript has 2 exons. Lineage: Eukaryota; Viridiplantae; Streptophyta; Magnoliopsida; Poales; Poaceae.